This 427-nucleotide ribosomal RNA is filed under the name uncultured prokaryote. RNAcentral's name for it is "bacterial SSU rRNA". It matches the Rfam family "Bacterial small subunit ribosomal RNA", at positions 355 to 774 of the family's 1533-position model. The record is from RNAcentral.
UGGGGAAUCUUCCGCAAUGGACGAAAGUCUGACGGAGCAACGCCGCGUGAGUGAAGAAGGCCUUCGGGUCGUAAAACUCUGUCAUAAGGGACGAACGAUGUUUAGGUGAAUAAGCUAAGCAAGUGACGGUACCUUAGGAGGAAGCCACGGCUAACUACGUGCCAGCAGCCGCGGUAAUACGUAGGUGGCGAGCGUUGUCCGGAAUUAUUGGGCGUAAAGGGCGCGUAGGCGGGAUAGUAAGUCAAACGUAAAAGGCCGGGGCGCAACCCCGGUAAGCGAAGGAAACUACUAUUCUUGAGUGCAGGAGAGGAAAGCGGAAUUCCCAGUGUAGCGGUGAAAUGCGUAGAUAUUGGGAGGAACACCAGUGGCGAAGGCGGCUUUCUGGACUGUGUCUGACGCUGAGGCGCGAAAGCCAGGGGAGCGAACG